RNAcentral lists this long non-coding RNA (569 nucleotides) under Setaria italica (foxtail millet). RNAcentral describes it as "long non-coding RNA (SITA_LNC003121)". The record is from RNAcentral. Lineage: Eukaryota; Viridiplantae; Streptophyta; Magnoliopsida; Poales; Poaceae.
GGAUGUUUGGGCCGUGGAGGUCCUGGAAGAUGUCGAGGAAGCGGUCGAUGAGGAGGGCGUCGUACUCGACGAGCUUGUCGUCCUCGGAGACCUUGCCGGGUGCCAGGAGCCGGAGCUGCGCGUCGAUGGAGUGGUGCUUCUCCACGGGCUUGGACGCCAUGGCGUGGUGGGAAGCGAAGCGAAGCUAGAUGACUGGAGUGGAGCUAGAUGGCUGUGGCGGUGGCACGAGGUCGAGCGAGGCGCGCGGGUGGGUUUAAAUAACGGAUGGGGCUUCUAAAAAAAACAAAAUAACGGAUGGGGAGUCGGCGAGUGUGUGCACGGGAUUGCACGCCUCAUGGCGGAUGGAAAGGGGGCUUUUUUUUUUUUCAAGCGGAGGGCAUGUGACCGGCGGCGAAUCACGAAUGCAAGGGGAGGGCCGAGGGGCAGCGCUGCGGAGCGAUGUGCUCGUUGCCUGGUUUUCGUCUGGGUUGUGCUGUCGACGUACUUGUCACUGCUCAAUCGCCUUCUUCUUCCUCGAAUCCUUCUCUUGGCUAUAAUUAAUUUGCUUGGUGUGGAGGGACUUGGACUCA